Molecule: long non-coding RNA, 11688 nt
Organism: Symphalangus syndactylus (siamang)
Lineage: Eukaryota; Metazoa; Chordata; Mammalia; Primates; Hylobatidae
Source: RefSeq, a predicted model, not a curated record
CCUGUCCCAGGGUUAGGAUGAUUUCAUAGGCUAAAUUCUGCAAGAAAAAUGAGAAAGCAUUUUCUACUGGCACACUGCAAAUUAGAAUGGGUCGAAUGGCUGAGGAACACUGAGGGAGGUGAACUAGGGAGGAACUUGAACUACUUCACCAGAGGCAGCAGUGAUUCAGUGGAAAUCUACAAAGAACAGGACACUCCGGGUCCAACUUAGGGUUUACACCAGGCAUUAGUCAUUUGUGAAAAGAAAAAUCUUGGGACCUCAGAUCACUAAGACAAAGGAAAAGGUCAGCUGGAAACUGUGUUGGGCAAAUAUGCCUUGCAUUCUAUUCCUAAAUAAGAUAGCUACAAAGAUAAAAAAGCUACAUACCUCCCUCACAAUUUGCCCACAAGGAAAUUUCCUGGGGACAAAAGACAGAACUCAAAGUCAUGCCUCUGCUCAUGUGAGAUGAAUGCAUAUCGGAUUGCUCCCUCUGUCCUGUUAUUUCCCUAAGCCAGACUAAGGCAUAAGUGACUAUUCCUGUAAAUUGUGUGUUCAGUGAAAGGCUAAUCAGAAACUCAAAAGAAUUCAACUGUUUGUCUCUUAUCUACCUAUGGCCUGGAAGCCCCCUUCUCACUUCUGGUUGUCCUGCCUUUCUGGACCAAACCAACGUACUUCUUACACAUACUGAUUGAUGUCUCAUGCCUCCCUAAAAUGUAUGAAGCCAAGCUGUGCCCUGACCACCUUGGGCACAUGUUCUCAGGACCUCCCAAGGCUGUGUCACAGGUGCAUCCAUUUUUUUUUUUUUUUUUAGAUGGAGUCUCACUCUGUCACCCAGGCUGGAGUGCACUGGAACAAUCUUGGCUCACUGCAACUUCCACCUCCCGGGUUCAAGCAAUUCUCUUGCCUCAGCCUCCCAAGUAGCUGGGACUACAGGCACGCGCCACCACACCCAGUUAAUUUUUGUAUUUUUAGUAGAGACGGGGUUUCACUAUGUUGGCCAGGCUGGUCUCAAAUUCCUGACCUCAUGAUCCACCCGCCUCAGCCUUCCAAAGUGCUGGGAUUGCAGGCGUGAGCCACCACACCUGGUCCAUGGGUGCAUCUUUAACCCUGGCAAAAUAAAUUGACUGAGACUUGUCUCAGAUACUUUUUGGUUUACACACUGAUAGGGCACACUUGCUUACAGAUCCCCAGUUAGCCCCAGGAGGAGCAGGCCCCACAGGCCACUGGCCCCAGGAGCCCACACCAUUCAAAGCUCUCCCUGUGGGCAGUUGGUUUGCCCCCGAGGCCUUGGAAGGGAAGGGGUUACUACUGGUAUUUCUGCUGAGUCCUGGGAGCGCUUCAGCCUUGCCUGUGAGGAUGAUCCCACACACUCCACAGGAGGUGUUCCUGAGAAGUUUGGGUCUUUUUACCUCAAACAUCUGUGAUUCAGUGAACAUCUACGAAACACAAUCAAAAUCUAAUUUAGGCCUAGAGGAGAGGCAUUAGUCAUGCUGGUGUGGCGGCUCACAGUCGCAGCAGUGAGCACGCAAACAGUGCUCCAACAGAGCCAAUUCCCCAGCUAUUUCUUGAGGCUUUUGCUCUCCCUGUGGGUCCACUCUAUAUUUUAUCAUGAAAUCAGCAAGAGACAGGAGAUUCUGUCAGGCCAGAUGCCAUGCCAAGCAGUGCCUGGGAGAAAAGUUCUUUUCUUCCGACCUUCAAUCAGUCCUUUUCUCAAGAUGAUUUCUAGCUUUCUUCUCUUCUCCAAAUGUGUAUCUUUGAUUUCUGCCUUUUCUUCCAAGCACAGCUCCGCCCGGUCUUCUCUCACUGAGAAACCAUCACGCUGUCUGGUGUCCACCACACCCUGAGGCCACAGAGCAUCAGAGAAGCAGAUGCAUACUAGUCACAGAGAGCGUUCUGAAGGUCACUGCAGCAGCUGAGAGCAGGCAUGGUCUGCCCCAAGUUUUCUUUUUUCUUUUUUUUGAGACAGAGUUUCGCUCUUUUUGCCCAGGCUGGAGUGCAAUGGCACGAUCUCGGCUCACUGCCACCUCCACCUCCUGGGUUCAAGCAAUUCUCUUGCCUCAGCCUCCCAAGUAGCUGAGAUUACAGGCAUGCACCACCAUGCCCGGCUAAUUUUGUAUUUUUAGUAGAGAUGGGGUUUCUCCAUGUUGGUCAGGCUGAUCUUGAACUCCCCACAUCAGGUGAUCCACCCACCUCGGCCUCCCAAAGUGCUGGGAUUAUAGGUGUAAGCCACCGCACCGGGCCAUCCAAGUUUUCAUUCUGAUGAAUGUCCCUAGAAUGUCCACUCACGGUUUCUCAAAAAUCACAGAAAUGUCAUUCUGCUGAUGCUGAUAUUGCAACUAAGCUGGCCCUCUCUGUGCCUGCCCAUCUCCACCCUCACCAAGCGCUCUGGGAGCCCGAUUCCCACACUGCUGCUGGGGAGAUGUGUUUGCAGUUGUUCCCAUUUGAUGAUGAUGGAGAGGAAGAUGCAGGAUGGUGCCUUCUGAGGCCACGGGGAAGCGGCCCAAGGGUUCUAGACCAACCAGAUUCCAGAUCCAUGCCAGAUCAAUUGUGAUGGUCUCAGAACCAAGUGGGGAAAAUGCCUCUGAGCUUGAGAGUUGGUUUGAGAGAGGAUGUAUCUGUCUCCUUUAAGUGAGCUGUUAGGAAAUAUUGACCCUACAAGACAGACAUCUGCCUGCUGGAGAUACUGCACCUUGCACAGCAAGCUGAGCACUUCCUUGCAAUGAACACUGAGCCUGUGUUUGCCUCCACAGAUGAGUCAGCCUAGUAAAUUAGUAACGCACCAGCAAAUGAUAGUGGAGGAGGUCUGGGAGACAGCUCUGACCAUCACUGCACAAAAGGGGCUGAGCUCUUUCCACUGCCUACACUUGGCACUCACGUCACCGUCAGCUUUGCCUCUUAGUGUUUGCGUGGGUCCCCUCUGAAAGGCAGGCGGGGCUUCCGACUUCUGUAGUCUCAGAAUGAAGAUGCAGGCUCUUGGUCUUGUUCAUGCUACUGUGGAAGAUGGCUGAUUCCCAUCUGUUGGGGACAUGUACCAGAUAUUCCUGUUCUGAGUGGGAAACUAGACUAAGAUGAAGGUGUGAGAUUCAGUGAUUCUGUAACAUGUGGUCUUUAUCUGCUGUAACAGUGGAACUUAAUGAGUGUGAAUUCCUUUAUCAUUAACCUAAAAACAAGUUGUUAUUGAAAGUGAGAUCUACUUAAAGCUCCGGUAUCUUCAAAUGAAAGUAAAAAGACCUUCAUUUGAGCAAGUGAAGUUUUUCACAUGAUUAUGGGAAGCUGAAAGGUUUUGGGAGAGAAUGUGUUAGAAGUCCUGCCCUUUCAUUUUUAAUUAGUUCCUGGUAUUAGGAAACUUCUCAAAUAAGACACACAGACCAGACUGUUGGAUUAAGUUUUUCUGCCUAAUGGCUUCUCCUGGUUCCGCUUACAUUUUCCUUGACAUCUUGCUUUGGUUUUAUUUUAGAAUGCUUUGUCGAGUUUCUUUUGUGAUUAUGUAUAGUACAGGAUUGGACACUGUUACCUUUCCUCUCUUGUCUGCAGCCUUACUGUUUGUGGUACUGAUGCUGGAUGCCAGGAGGGCCCAUGGGCACCGAGACGCACCUUCCAAGUGCUGUGUUGCCCAUCCCGACACACCAGGGCCCUUUCGGGGAAACAGAUGCUCAUCCCAUGGGACCUCAGGACACACGUGUGAAUGGGGAAAGAACCCCCCAUUUUUUUUGUAGGUUCACUUCUCCUGCCUCUCCUAUUAACAUCCCUACCAUCUGAAACGGGAGGAGAGUUGCUAUCAUGUACGAGGAGACUCUACCGGGAUGAGGCUGAAAAUUAUAUUGUAACAUCAGAAGGCUUAGGUUAGAAGCCCAUCUGGCAAACAUCAAUGAUGCUGGCUGGCUCUGAAGAGCCCAUGGUGACACCCAGAAAAUCUGCAAGCCCAACUGCCUCUGCCUUCAACAUAUUAUCCCUGCAACUGUGGGGAGGCCAACGCCUGGCACAUUGCAGGUGCUGAAGAAAUGCUUGCUUGCUUGCUUGCUUGCUGAAUGAAUGAAUGAAUAUCCACAGGAUGAGCUGGAGUAAUCAUAACAUUUCUAGUUAAUACUCAGUCUAGCUACCAUUAAGGGAGAACUUAAUAGGUGUGAGAGAUGUGCCAAGCGAUAUCUUUGUUUCAUUUAAGUCUUACCACAAUCACAUGCAGUAGCAUAUUAUCCUCAUUUUAUAGAUGAGGCAGUGGAGGCUCAGAGGGGUGAAAUAACUUUCCAGACAUCACAGAAAGUUACAGAACUUGACAUGAGCCAAUAUCUGUGCUCAAAAUCCCCUGCUCUUGGCCCAACCCAUGUGUCUACCCAGCUUGUCUCUAAGAUGACUGCCAUCAACUCUCCCCUCCCGUGCACACCAUGGUGUUCCCCUGUUGAGAAGUCGAAUCUGCUCUUUGAAUCUGGACUGGUUUUACUGACUUGCUUGACCCAUAGGAUAUAGCAGAAGCAGCAUGCUGAAUUUGUGAGGUUGAAUCAUGAGGAGUCUUGCAGUUUCCUCCUGGGCCUCUAGGAAUGUUACUCUGGGGGAAUUAAUUAGUCAUGUAAAAAGUCUCAGCAUCCUGGUAAUUCCAGCACUUUGGGAGGCUGAUAUUGUUUAGCUGUGUCCCCACCCAAAUCUCAUCUUGAAUUCUAGCUCCCAUAAUUCCCAUGUGUUGUGAGAGGGACCUGGUGGGAGGUAGUUGAAUCAUGGGGGUGAGUCUUUCCCAUGCUGUUCUUGUGAUAGUGAAUAAGUCUCACAAGAGCUGAUGGUUUUAUAAAUGGGAGUUCCCCUGUACAUGCUCUCUUGCCUACUGCCACAUAAGAUGUGCCUUUGCUUCUCCUUUGCCUUCUGCCAUAGGCCUCCCCAGCCAUGUAGAACUGUGAGUCCAUUAAACCCCUUUCCUUUAUAAAUUACCCAGUCUCGGGUAUGUCUUUAUUAGCAGUAUUAGAACAGAUUAAUAUAGAGGCUGAGGUGGGUGGAUCACUUGAGGUCAGGAGUUCAAGACUAGCCUGGCCAUUAGUGAAACCCCAUCUCUACUAAAAAUACAAAAAAAAAAAAAAAAUUAGCCAGGCUUGGUGGCAGGUACCUGUAAUCCCAGCUACUCGGGAGGCUGAGGCAGGAGAAUUGCUUGAACCUGGGAGGCAGAGGUUGCAGUGAACCGAGGCUGUGUGACUGCACUCCAGCCUGGGUGACAGAGUGAGACUCCAUAUUUUUUUUUUUUUUUUUUUUUGAGAUGGAGUCUUGCCCUUGUUGCCCAGGCUGGAGUACAAUGGCACGAUCUUGGCUCACUGCAACCUCUGCCUCCUGGCUUCAAGAGAUUCUCCUGCCUCAGCCUCCCGAGUGGCUGAGAUUACAGGUACCUGCCACCACACCUGGCUAAUUUUUUGUAUUUUUAGUAAAGACAAGAUUUCACCAUGUUGGCCAGGCUGGUCUUGAACUCCUGCCCUCAGGUGAUCCACCCGCCUCGGCCUCCCAAAGUGCUGGGAUUACAGGCAUGAGCCACCGCACCCAGCCGAGACUCAAUCUUAAAAAAAAUAGAAAAAAAAAAAGUUCUUGCCAUCCUGAGAUCAUCAUGUUAUGAGAAUGCCUGAGCUAGCCACAAGGAGAGGCUGCCUGGACAGGAACAACGGUUUCAGCCAGGCCAGCCCAGGCUCAAGAUUUGGGAGUGAAGGGGUCUCAAAGACAUUGGAGAUCCAGCAGACGUCGCAUGGAGAAGACUCAAGGCCUAGACAGAUGGCUCCAGUCGGGCUGCCCCAGCAUCUCCAGCCAUUGCAGGCACCUUGGCUGAGGCCCCAGAUGUUGUUGACCAGGACUGCCAUGCCCAGCACAGAUCCCUGACUUACAGAAUUGUGAACAUAAUAAAUGGAUGUUGUUUUAUAUUUUGGGGUGGCUUAUUACACAGCAGGAGAUAACUGGAACACCAUGCGAUGCUGCAGAAGGCUGGCUGGACCCUCAUUCAGACAACAGGAAGAUGACCCAUGAGCCCAGGAGCUGUGAUGAAUGCUGCUUAGCCAGGAGGCCAAUCCUGGAGCCACCCCGUCCCCUGGCUGCCCUGGCUGUGGGGAAGAUCACUGAUCACAGCGAGCACUAAGGUGUCCCAUCCCAUCUGCUGGCUCAAACCACAGCGCUGCAGUGAAGUCAGCAAAAUCAUACUCUCAUCUCCAGUUACUACCCGCCUUGGGCAUAAAUUAAAACUCAUUUAGCUUUACCUUUAUUACCUCACGUCUCUCGCAUGCUGUAACCUGGCCUGUCUCUGACCUUGGCUCCUCCUGCCUCAUAUAAGCUCAUUGGAAGAUACUUGCUUUGGUCUUUCUAGCAUAAGUCUUUUGAGACACAUUUAUUACGGCAAUUGGUCUGGAGUAUUUGCCACCUUACAGAGACCACCAGUGAAAGAGAGCUGCAUGUGUGUGCAUGUGUGCACAUGUGUGUGUGUGUGUGUGUGUGCAUGCGGGGUGCAGGUGUGACAGUUGAUUACUGAAAACAGCAUACUCAGCCUUGGUUUUCUCAUCUUAAAAUGGGGAUAAUACCAUACGCAGUACCCACCUAACUGGAUUGUUCUGAUAAUGGCUAAUAAUAUUAUUUACCCAAAUGGCAAUACCGGCUAGCAUUUAUUAUUUACUGUGUGCCAUGCACCAUGCUAAGUGCUUCAACAUGGGCUCUUUAAUUCAAUCCCAACCACAUCUGUAUGCCGUAGGUCUAUUACUUCCAUUUUGCACAUGAGAUAAUUACGCUCAGAAAGGUUAAAUAACUUGCUCAUGAAGUCAGCACCCAGCCAAACUGGGAUUUGAAUCCAGUUGUUCUGAGAGGCUAUACUCUUCUUGACCAUUACACCUUAGAACUAUACAUAAGAUAAAAUAAAAAAAUUCUGUAAUCUGUUUAAAAAAGUUUAAAAAACAUGAGCCAAUUGAGCUUCCAAGUGACUGACCCAUCUUGGCUGUGGUGAGGUCACCUACUUGCCCAUUGCCUGGGUCUCAUGCCCAGUCUGGUUGAGAGGCAGCCUCCAGGCCGGGGGUGUACUUUGUGACUCCACAGAGACCAUCAACACAGGAAUUCUUCAUCUUUGGCUUCCCUGAGGGUGAUGUAAAAGAUAUGAGGCAACUCCCAUCCUCAGUAGUGGCUAUUUGGGAAGAAGCGCAGGGAGUCCCAGUCCAAUGGGGAAAAACCUCCUGGGAAGCAUAGGAAUUCUCCUCUUCCCUUCCCUUCUCUUCUCUUCUUCCCCAGGGAUUUCUUUUUCUUUUUUCUUUUCUUUCUUUCAUUUUAUUUUUUUUUUGAGAUAGGGUCUCACACUCUCACCUAGGCUGGAGGGCAGUGGUGUGAUCUCAGCUUACUGCAAUCUCCACCUCCUGGGUUCAAGUGAUUCUCCUGCCUCAGCCUCCUGAGUAGCUGGGAUUAUAGGCGUGCACGCCUGGCUAAUUUUUUUUUUUUUUUGGUAGAGAUGGGGUUUCAAUGUGUUGGCCAGGCUGGUCUCGAGCUCCUGGCCUCAAGUGAUCCUUCUGCCUGGGCCUCCCAAAGUGCUAGGAUUAUAGGCAUGAGCCACUGUGCCCGGCCUGGGAUUCUGAUCUGCAAAUUAAGAACUGCUACAUUAGAGGAACUUAAGGAACCAUUGUAUCAUAAAGAUAAAUCCUAAUGCAAUCAGGGGAUGAAAACUUGCUUUUCUUGUGCAAGCUGAAGAUAUGCAGGUCAGCGUAUAUUUACUAUGGUUUCUUCAAGGCAGUAAUGGAUAUUGAACAUCACCACAGAUAUUUACCAAGCUCCUUCCAUGUGUUAAGGGUUGUGUCCCUGGUGCCAGGCCCAUGCCUAGCCUAUAGACAAUGUCCAGGAAGUGAUCACUGAAUGACAUGGGGAAGUAAAAGGGUCCAUCAAGUCUCUCAUUACAUCCAGAGGAGGCUCAUGGAGAGACAAAGAGAUCUUCCUCACUGUCCUCCUGCAUCCUUGUCCCCGAGGCUGUACCCAGCAUAUUCAUCAGUCUAGUAUGAGAAAAAUUGCAUCAUAGAUGGUGGGCAAUCUGUCCCCUAGAAAAAGCUCUAGCCACCAAGGUAAUUAAUUUAUUUUAACUGGUACAUCACUGAGAUUUUUCUGUUUCUUAGUUUGCAAAUCUCUUAGGCACAAGGGUUCACUGAUACAUGUGCAAAAAUAUUCAUUAAAGUGUUUAAAUUUUUCAUUAUUAGAGGACUGAUUAAGUAGAAUACUGGGUAGCCAUUUAACAUGAAAACUGGAGGCGGGUGGAUUGCCUGAGCUCAGGAGUUCAAGACCACGCUGGGCAACAUGGUGAAACCCUGUCUCUACUAAAAUACAAAAAAUUAGCUAGGUGUGGUGGUGCACACCUGUAAUCCCAGCUACUCGGGAGGCUAAGGCAGGAGACUCGCUUGAGCCCAGGAGGCGGAGGUUGCAGUGAGCCGAGGUCGCACCACUGCAUUCCAGCCUGGGCGACAGAGUGAGACUCCGUCUAAAAAAUAAAUAAAUAAAUAAUGGGUUAAAAGACUAUGUAAAAAUAUAUGUACACAUAUACACAUAGAUAGGAUCUGUAUAUAUGCAUAGAAAAUAGCAAUAUGGAUCAAAUGUGAAUAGUAGUUAUCACUGCGUAUUGAAACUGGAUGAUUUCUAUUUUUGUAUGUUUGGAACUUUAUUUAAAUGAGGAUUAAUAAUUUUUAGUCAUAAAAUAAUCUUUCCAUUUUGAUAAUUAAAAACAUGAGAAAGUGUUUUGAGUUUAAAAUAGUCUUAUUCUUGCUUUUUUUUUUUUUUUUGAGACAGGGUCUUGCUCUGUUGUCCAGGCUGGAGUGCAGUGGCACAGUCAUGGCUCACAGAAGCUUUGACCUCCCAGGCUCACAUGAUCCUCUCACCUCAGCCUCUGGAGUAGCUGGGACCACAGGUAAUGUGUCAUCACACCUGGCUAAUUUUUGUAUGUUUUUUAGAGACAGGGUUUCAACAUGUUGCCCAGGAUGUAUCUUAUUCUUUCUGCAUCACCUUGGGGUUCUGAGGCUCUCUUCAUUCUCUGGCUGAGAGGGCUGGGAACUACUUUCCAGCAAAAUCUGGGACCUCUCUGCAGGUGCUGUCAUGGCUCCCCUCUAUGUGCCAGGAAGCUGCCCAUUCAUUCGGCAAAGAAUCUUGUUUAGGCUCUUCAGUUUUCAUACUGGAUGCCAAUUCUAACAUCUUCUCAGUGAGACUUUAAAGUAUCAAGCUCUUCCUUUAAGCUGCAACCCUAAUACUUCUACUCCAAGUGUGGAGUUGACCCUUUAAUGGUCCAACUUCUGCCAAGCCCAAGUGAAAAAUGUUGUUAUGUGGAUAUUAACUUACAGACAUGCAGUCAAUCCGCUCUUGUAGCUGUGCAAAGUUUGAUCUCUGCACGAAGUCAAACUGCCUAUGAACUUGAACCGUAUUUUAUUUCCUUUCAUAAUGAUGAUAAAGCAGUGGCAGCAGCAACUACACACGAUAUUGCCUACUACAUCCUAGGGACGAGGCUAAGUGCCCUCUGUGGAUUGUCUACUCCUCACAACACCUUAUAGAGGAGGAAUGCCCAUCCUCAUUUUACAUGUGAGAAACUAAGGAUCAGUGAAAUUGACAACUUGGCCAAGUUCAUAUAGCAGAACCAGGAUUCAAGUGCAGAUCUGACUUCAGAUUAGCCAGCAUUUCAUGCCACUGGGCUAUCCUACCUUCGUUACUUUCAUGAAUGUGCUGGUCUUCUGUGCCUAUUUCAUUGAGGCACCCUCUAGAACACCAUCUUGUGUUUUGGAGAUUCACUGUACAAAUGUUGGUGAAGACAUCAUUACACAGUAUCCCCUCAUGGGAGCCUAGGACAGAAAGUUCCUUCAUACUUAAGUCUUAUUAAAAUAUUGUUUUCGGAAAGGAAGGGGUAUACUUUUCUUUCAGAGAAAUACAGAGCAUAAAAUUACUGCAUUUCCCUUUUUGCCUUGACCUCCAGGAAGCUCACAGCUAAAAGCUCAGAGCUAGAGAGAGCUCAGCUCCCAUACCUUUACAGAACUCCGUGGUCUGUAUAUUGAUGCUACAACUUUUCCCUUGAUAUGGAGCUUCCUUUUAGUCUGUAUUUUCCCUAAUUCAGAUUUGUUGUAUAUAUAUAUAUUUUCAGACUACUAUACCUAUUCAUGUAGGCUGUCUUCAAUCCUUUAUGGAAUGAGGCAUGGUAGAAACACUGUCCAUUUGUUCACUUAUUUAUUCCAGGGCUUACUUUGUUGAACGCAUUGCUGCCCAAAUGGCUGACAAGAUGCCUACCUGAUACCCCGAGUUCACUAUUCUAAACUGAAUGAAUGAGUUGCCUUGCCUCCAAACCGACCACGUGUUCACACAGACUAAAUGUUCGGCUUCCAACCCGCGCGUCCCUCCUCUUGGAAAGCCCACCCUGCUGGCUGCUGGUGCAGUGCCCGGGUGGCAUGGAUCUGAUUUUGUUGUAACUAUUUGCUUGUGUCCCUUCAUCUCCUGCUGGACCAUGAGCUCCUGGAGAGCAGGGAUGUGUGUCUAAUGCAUGGCAGGCACUCUAUCAAUACAGGAAUGCAUUUUAUAUGGAAUCUGACUUUUUUCCUCAGAUGUGGAAGCAUGCAGCAACAAACUUAUGUCAUGAAUCAAAAACUGGGACAUAAAGCCUCACACAGGGUCUGACAAGAAUGUAAGCAUCACUAUUAACUGCUUCUGCUACUCUCCGUGUCCUCAACAGCUAAGAGUUAUUGAAUACCAUGUGCUGCAAAUGCGUAUGUGUCACCUUGUUUAAUCCUUGCAAUCACCAUAGGAGGUAUCCUAUUAUAAUCUCUAUUUUACAGAUUAGGAAACUGAAGAUUAGAGGCAUUCUUUUUUAUUUUUUGAGUCAGAGUCUCGCUUUGUCACCCAGGCUGGAUUGCAGUGGCGCCAUCUUGGCUCACUGCAACCUCUGCCUCCUGGUUCAAGUGAUUCUCAUGCCUCAGCCUCCCAAGUAGCUGGGAUUACAGGUGUGUACCACCAUGCCUGGCUAAUUUUUGUAUUUUUAGUAGAGAUGGGGUUUCACCAUGCUGGUCUGGCCAGUUUUGAACUCCUGAGCUCAAGAGAUCCACCUGCCUCAGCCUCCCAAAGUGCUGAGAUUACAGGCGUAAGCCACUGCGCCUGGCCUUUCUUUUCUUGAGACAGAGUCUCAUCUUGUCACCCAGGCUAGAGUGCAGUGGUGUGAUCUCUGCUCACUGUAACCUCCGCCUCCCAGGUUUGAGUGAUUCUCCUGUCUCAGCCUUAGGUUCAAGCAAUUCUCCUGCCUCAGCCUCCCAAGUAGCUGGGAUUACAGGUGUGCACAACCACGCCAGGCUAAUUUUUGUAUCUUUAGUAGAGACAGGGUUUUACCACGUUGGCCAGGCUAAUCUGGGACUCCUGACCUCAGGUGAUCCGCCCGCCUUGGCUUCCCAAAUGCUGGGAUUACAGGCAUAAGCCACCGUGCCUGGCCUGUGGCAUUCUCGCCCAAACUAUGAGGCUAAGAGUGCAGAUCUGGGAUUCAAAACCAGACUGAUUCUAAAGGCCACCCCCUGAACAUGACACUUGACUGACAGUUAUUUAGAAGUCGGGGGUGCAACAAAUACAUGCAUAAAUGCUGCAAAGCAAUCUGUGAAAACAAUUUCAGAAUGUCUGGUUUCUAAUUUUACAAAAAACAGGAGCAACUUAAGGCACUGAUAACUUUGUCUCCCCACCCCCAAAAUAGGGAUGAGAAGAAAUAAAGACUAUUAAUCUCUGAAUAUCCAA